UCUCUUCAUUCCACCUUAGUUUAAGGAAAUCCCUCAGACUUGUAUAUGAUAACGAACACACUACAUCUCAUCAGAAUCCUAUCAAAUUGAAAAGAGAAUUGAGGAAGCUCCAACUUUGAAUCUAUUUCCGUCAGUCAUCUUCGACGGCCAGAAGCUGCAUGUUAGGUUCUUUAUCACAGUAUGAUGUCUUCAUGAAAGUUUCUCGGAUUAGUGUCUGCUAUCUUGUGCUAAAAUUUGACGACGAUCCAACGGUUAGAUUGUCCUCAACAGAGUUUCUCCAUGUCUUGGGUUAUCAUUCGAGUUCCUUUCUUGGAGUCUUCCUCUACCUAUGAGCCUACAAUCCGAAGAGUGACAAUCGGAAUUUGGAUAAGUGUUAUGGGCUGCUAUCAAUGGAGGACCAGGUUGUUAUCAAUGAUGAAGGACUAGUAUUGGAGCAUUAUGUACGUUGCUAUCUUGCUAUUGCUAAAUGAUUUGAGUUGGUCUUGCAGGUACUGUGCACGAGAGGAGGACUUCGAGACCGAGCUGGGUGCUACGUUCAUAAUUAUUUGCCUUGGUAUAUUUGGCUUGACUUGUGUUUACUUUUAAAUAUUUGUUAUUGUUGAAUUGUGACAUUUGUUAACUUGUAAAUGUGGAUCUGAAUAUUUCCUUGGCUUCUUCAUUCCAUUUCUAAACGUUUGAAACCAACUUACAACUUCUUAAUUAUUGUGGUAGCUUGCUGGUUCUGUUUGGUAUCUCUUUAUUUGUUUUGUUUGGAAAACACUUUUGGAGUUGCUAUAGUUAUAACAUCAUCUAGCAAACAACGAUGAAGUGUUCAACGUUUUCACCUCAUUUUAAACUCUACGUUUUUCGUCAACUUUUACUAUUUCUAAAGUUCCAUUUUUAGUAAAAAGUUGCCUUGCAUCUCUUUAGGACAUGAGUUAAGCUUCUUAGCUUGUGUUUCUAAAGGUUUGCAGCACUGUAACGUACUUGAUUUGGAGAGGUGCUUAUUGGGGCGUUACACGUUAUCAGCACGAUAGUCUUUACUGUUCUCAUAAACUCAAUGAUGAUCAAAGAGUACUUUAUGGUCUUGAUUGAUGCUUCUACAAGAUGGUCACAUGUUUGUCUCUUGUCAACAUGUAAUAUGGCAUUCGCUAAGCUUCUUGUUCAGAUAAUUAAAUUACGAGCACAAUUCCCAAAUUAUUCUAUUAAAUCAAUUCAAUUAGAUAAUGCUGGUGAAUUUACAUCUUAAGCGUUUGAUGAUUAUUGCAUGUCUUUGGGAAUUGAGGUUGCGCAUCCAGUCCCUCAUGUUCAUACCCAAAAUGGCUUGGCAGAAGCUCUUAUUAAGCGCUUGCAGAUAAUUGCACGCACCUCACUCAUAAGGAUCGUCAAAGUUGCUGACUUCUGUAUGGGGACAUGCCAUUUUGCAUGCGGCAUCAUUAAUCCGGUUGAGCUGCAUAGUACUACCACUGCUAUUCUAUCCCCACUGUGUGCAAUUGGACCUCUUGUUCUUCAUUAACUUCUGCAACCUGUUGCAUCUCAACAAGUUCAGCUUGUGAGUUGGAGGGUGAAUAGAUUUUGUUAAUGUGAGUUGGAGGGUGAAUAGAUUUUGUUGACACCAAUUUAGGCAUACAAAACUGAUUUGCAGAUUAUGGAAGGUAUGUCGUCCUUCACACCCUCGCCCUCGCCUUCUCCAAGCAUUGGAACCAGUCGAACCACCCCUUCACUGAGUCCUCCAUCUCCACUGGAACAUAGAACUGUCAUUUUCUAUUUCUUU
RNA transcript from Fragaria vesca subsp. vesca, 1753 nucleotides. RefSeq lists it as uncharacterized. Lineage: Eukaryota; Viridiplantae; Streptophyta; Magnoliopsida; Rosales; Rosaceae. The transcript has 4 exons. The record is from RefSeq and is a predicted model, not a curated record.